GUAAGAGAUCAAGGCAUGUUUUAUUUAUGAAUACUUAUUAAUUCCUUAAACAAUUUUAUUUAAACAAUUCUAUUUAGGAAAAGCAGGCAUUUUGGUAGUUUAGAAGUAUUUAAAGUCCAGCAGCUGUUCUAAAAAUAGAACUUGGCUUCAGGUUCCCUCCCCAUUCAAUAGCAGGCAGCCAACCUACCCUGUUAACAUUUGUGCUCUUAUUUUUUGCUUACUUGUCUUUCUGUAUAGUAGAGAUGAAAUAAAAUUGAAAGAUGUACCUGCCUUUGUUUUGUAGUGAAUGGCAUUACUGAGGAAGCUGAUCCCACCAUUUACUCUGGCAAAGUAAUUCGCCCCCUGAGGAGUGUUGAUCCAACACAGACUGAGUACCAAGGAAUGAUUGAGAUUGUGGAGGAGGGUGAUAUGAAAGGUGAGGUCUAUCCAUUUGGCAUCGUUGGGAUGGCCAACAAAGGGGAUUGCCUGCAGAAAGGGGAGAGCGUCAAGUUCCAAUUGUGUGUCCUGGGCCAAAAUGCACAAACUAUGGCUUACAACAUCACA
RNAcentral lists this small RNA (543 nucleotides) under Pongo abelii (Sumatran orangutan). RNAcentral describes it as "retained intron". The record is from RNAcentral. Lineage: Eukaryota; Metazoa; Chordata; Mammalia; Primates; Hominidae.